Molecule: ribosomal RNA, 420 nt
Filed under: uncultured bacterium
Lineage: Bacteria
Description: partial 16S ribosomal RNA
Rfam family: Bacterial small subunit ribosomal RNA
Source: RNAcentral
AAUCUUCCUCAAUGGACGCAAGUCUGCCGGAGCAACGCCGCGUGAGUGAGGAAGGUUUUCGGAUCGUAAAGCUCUGUUGUCCGGGAAGAACGGAUGGAAGAGGAAAUGCUUUGAUCGUGACGGUACCUGAGAAGAAAGCCCCGGCUAACUACGUUCCAUCCGCCGCGGUAAUCCGUAGGGGGCAAGCGUUGUCCGGAAUUAUUGGGCGUAAAGGGCGCGCAGGCGGCGCGUUAAGGCUCAUGUAUAAGCCUCGGGCUCAACCUGGGGAGGCAUGGGAAACUGGCGAGCUGGAGUGCAGGAGAGGAAAGCGGAAUUCCACGUGUAGCGGUGAAAUGCGUAGAGAUGUGGAGGAACACCAGUGGCGAAGGCGGCUUUCUGGCCUGUAACUGACGCUGAGGCGCGAAAGCGUGGGGAGCAAAC